RNAcentral lists this ribosomal RNA (370 nucleotides) under uncultured eukaryote. RNAcentral's name for it is "partial 18S ribosomal RNA". It matches the Rfam family "Eukaryotic small subunit ribosomal RNA", at positions 592 to 976 of the family's 1831-position model. The record is from RNAcentral.
CAAUAGCGUAUAUUAAAGUUGUUGCAGUUAAAAAGCUCGUAGUUGGACCUUGGACCUGGACAGGCGGUCCGCCUCACGGCGAGUACUGUCUUGCUGGGUCUUUCCCCUUGGUGAUCUGUUGUUUCGGCAGCAGGGAACCAGGACCUUUACUUUGAAAAAAUUAGAGUGUUCAAAGCAGGCUCGACGCCGGAAUAUAUUAGCAUGGAAUAAUAAAAUAGGACGUGCGGUUCUAUUUUGUUGGUUUUUGGAAUCGCCGUAAUGAUUAAUAGGGACAGUCGGGGGCAUUAGUACUCACAUGCUAGAGGUGAAAUUCUUGGAUUUUGUGAAGACUAACUUCUGCGAAAGCAUUUGCCAAGGAUGUUUUCAUUAA